RNAcentral lists this long non-coding RNA (258 nucleotides) under Lathyrus oleraceus (garden pea). RNAcentral describes it as "Pisum sativum (pea) long non-coding RNA (PSAT_LNC028344)". Lineage: Eukaryota; Viridiplantae; Streptophyta; Magnoliopsida; Fabales; Fabaceae. The record is from RNAcentral.
UGCAGGUUCCUUCGUCCAGGAUUUCCCUUUUGCCUGAGCAUUCCUAACCCUAACCCUUUAUUGAUUUUUCUUCUCCUAAACACACGUUUACUCCUUCUACUACAGGCGAGUAAGUCUCCAAAGGUCGAGCAUCCGGUAGAUUGCGUAGUAACGUCGUUCGUCCAAAACCCAAUCCAUAACCCCGUAGUUAGCCGAACUACGGCUUGCUCUGAUUCUCAUUCCAGAUGAGAUACGUAGGCAUAAGACGCGAUGUCUUAG